Molecule: long non-coding RNA, 716 nt
Filed under: Cricetulus griseus (Chinese hamster)
Lineage: Eukaryota; Metazoa; Chordata; Mammalia; Rodentia; Cricetidae
Description: lncRNA (ENSCGRG00015033267.1)
Source: RNAcentral
GGCAUAUUCAUCAAUCCCCUGUGAGAAGCAGGCUGGUCCUGGCCAAGACGGUGCUCAGCAGCCUCGGUGUGAGGAAAUGCACACAGCUGACCUUCUCAAUGAGAAGUGACACGGAAGUUCCCAUUGUCCGUCUGCCUGCUGUCCCCUCUGCAGAGUCCUGUACCCACACCAUGCUCCAUCCCAACGACUGCAGAGAGAUGGCUCAGCAGUUACAGGCAUUUGCUGCCAAACCCACGGGCCUGUGUACAAUCCCUGGAACCCAUAUUGCAGAAGAGAACCAGUUUCCACAAGUUGUUUCCUGCCUUCCACAUGGGUACCAUGGAGUGCCACCCCUAAUAAAUAAAUAAAGUGAUGGGAAAAUGAACAUUAGUGUUAGCAGAGGCUCGUGUAUGCUGUGACUUGGAGAAGUGUCCCUAAAGGACUGUGUGUCAAUGGUUCGGACUCUGGCCUCCAGCAACACGAAGAAAUGAUGGAGAGAAUAGAAAUAUGUGCUGGAGAAAUGCUAAGAUAAGUACUGCUCUUGCAGAAGACCCGAGUUCUAUUCCCAAGGCCUGCGUUGGUCAGCUCACAACCACCUGUAACUAGGGCUCCAGGGGAUCCAACACUUCUGGCCUUCUUAGACACUGUACUUGUGUGGCAUACCCACACAGAGACGCAUAUACAUAAUUUAAAAACAAAACAAGCCUUUAGAAAGAAGAGUGGGAGCCUGGUGGGGG